RNAcentral lists this ribosomal RNA (26 nucleotides) under Ichthyophonus hoferi. Its description in RNAcentral is "partial 18S ribosomal RNA". Lineage: Eukaryota; Ichthyosporea; Ichthyophonida; Ichthyophonidae. The record is from RNAcentral.
CCGUAGGUGAACCUGCGAAAGGAUCA